Gossypium arboreum is the source of this 1193-nucleotide long non-coding RNA. RefSeq lists it as uncharacterized. The transcript has 4 exons. Lineage: Eukaryota; Viridiplantae; Streptophyta; Magnoliopsida; Malvales; Malvaceae. The record is from RefSeq and is a predicted model, not a curated record.
CGGGUUGGAGGUCGUCGAGAUAUUAUCACCCUAUCGAGUUAACGUUAUCGGAGUAAGUAAACUCAAGUGAUUCGAGUCUAUGGCAUGUAUAGGAUUUUAAUGUGAGUAUGUAAUAUUAUGAUUUAGCCAAAGGCAUUGGCUUGUUAUUAAGGUAGUAUUAGUCAUGUAAAUUGGCCUAUGUCGGCUAAUGACGUUAUGGGCCCAUAUGAUUAUUCUUAUGCAUUUAUGUUAUUAUUUCUUGUGAUGUGGCUUACAACAUGUAUGCCUAGAGAUUGAAUUGAGAUUCAUUGAUGAGCUAGUAACUAAUGCAGGAUUAAGUGAUUGGUAAAUAGUUAAUAAUGCUUGAUGAAUGGUUUGUGAUGUAAUGAUAGUUAUGUCUAGUAUGUAGUAAUGAUAUGGGCAAAUUCUAUAAUAUUUAUUACAUAAGAAAAUAACUUGAGCAUAUCAUGUUUGUAGAUGUUUAAGAGCUCAUUUAUGCCACGUUGUGUGUUAUUGGAUAAGUAUGUAUCUAUGCAUGUGGUGUGAGAGUGACAAAAGGCUUGAUAAUUAGACUAUUUCUGGCCACACGGCCUGAGCACAUGGGCGUGUGAAGCCUUAACGCAAGAGAUUUUUCUAAGUUUUUCAUGAGUUCUCGAUUGGGUCUCGAACCGCCCCGAAUGCAUGUAUUGGGCCUCGUAAGCUCGCAUAAGGGACAAAUUGCAUGUGAAAAGAAAAGUUUUUAAUUAUUUGAGAUUUCAUGGCCCUGUUUAGUAUGGAAGUGUUAGUAAAAGUUAGGUAGCACCUCGAACCCCGUCCCGGCGUCGGAUGCGGGCGAGGGGUGUUACAUUUAGUGGUAUCAGAGCAUGGUUUAGUCGGUUCUCGGACUAACCUAGCGUAAGAGAGUCUAGCUAUACAUGCCAUAGUAUUACUCGUGAUAGUGUGAUAUCUCUCGGCCCUAACAAAACUGUUGAUUAAGACAGGAAUGAGUUCGAACCGAGCAAAUCUUGAUAGAGAUAAGAGUAAAGUUGAGAUUAUUGAAUCAUGCUUGUGACAUGCUGAAAAUGGGAAAGAUGAUGAAAAUUGAGACUUGGACCUAGAACGGAAAGAAAUCGAUUUAUGGACUAGUAUGUCCUUUUCACAUUUGUGGUAUCGAGGCAAUCCAAGGAAAGAGUUAAUGAUGGUCUCAAUGAGGUAAGUCAUUGGUUAGCUCGGGU